This 480-nucleotide ribosomal RNA is filed under the name Mesorhizobium sp. M8A.F.Ca.ET.142.01.1.1. Its description in RNAcentral is "partial 23S ribosomal RNA". It matches the Rfam family "Bacterial large subunit ribosomal RNA", at positions 1207 to 1692 of the family's 2925-position model. Lineage: Bacteria; Pseudomonadati; Pseudomonadota; Alphaproteobacteria; Hyphomicrobiales; Phyllobacteriaceae. The record is from RNAcentral.
UGCAUACUUUGUAUGCGCGGUAGAGGAGCGUUCCGUAAGCCGUUGAAGGUGGAUUGAGAAGUCUGCUGGAGGUAUCGGAAGUGCGAAUGCUGACAUGAGUAACGAUAAUGCGGGUGAAAAACCCGCACGCCGAAAGCCCAAGGUUUCCUUGCGCAACGUUAAUCGGCGCAGGGUGAGUCGGCCCCUAAGGCGAGGACGAAAGUCGUAGUCGAUGGGAAGCAGGUUAAUAUUCCUGCACCUCGCGUAAGUGCGAUGGAGGGACGGAGAAGGUUAGGUGUACCAGGCGUUGGUUGUCCUGGGGAAAGGCGGUAGGUUUGGAUCUUUGGCAAAUCCGGGAUCCUUUAAGACCGAGCACCGAGACGAGCCUUUAAGGCGAAGUCACUGAUACCACGCUUCCAGGAAAAGCUCCUAAGCUUCAGCUUACGCAGACCGUACCGUAAACCGACACAGGUGGGUAGGAUGAGAAUUCUCAGGCGCUUG